AAGCUGAGCCGCAUGACGCGAGCUAUGAGGCCGCAGGCUGUGCUGCGUGUCGUGAGUUAGGAAGCCGUGAGCUGAGAGGCCACGAGCUGAGCCACGUCUCGCAAGCUGGGAUGCCCCAAGCUGAGCCGCGUCCCGUGAGCUAGGAGGCAGUGAGCUGAGCCACGUCCCACGAACUAGGAAGCCGUGGCCCGAGCCAUGACCCGUUAGCUAAAAGGCCGUAACCUGUACUGCCUUGAGCCAAAUUUCUGAACUCAUACUCUACAGCGUCCAACAGGUUGUCAUCCUGUCCUCUCAUCUGGAACCAAACCCAGUUAGACUCAGAGACUAACAAAUCUUCUCUCAAAAUAAAAGAUUCCUCGGACUCC
Long non-coding RNA from Brienomyrus brachyistius, 365 nucleotides. RefSeq lists it as uncharacterized. The record is from RefSeq and is a predicted model, not a curated record. The transcript has 2 exons. Lineage: Eukaryota; Metazoa; Chordata; Actinopteri; Osteoglossiformes; Mormyridae.